UUUCCGUAGGUGAACCUGCGGAAGGAUCAUUAACAAAUCCAGUACUUGUGGGGGGACUACCAAGUCUUGCUGCAAAUAUUAAUCCGCCGGCUCUAGCAGCUGGCUGUGAUAUAAAUGCGUGUAAUGUUGACAGUGUGUGUAUGAAAGUUAAUUUAUUGACAACUUUUAACAAUGGAUCUCUAGGCUCUU
This 189-nucleotide unclassified non-coding RNA is filed under the name plant metagenome. RNAcentral's name for it is "partial contains small subunit ribosomal RNA, internal transcribed spacer 1, and 5.8S ribosomal RNA". The record is from RNAcentral.